UUAUAAAAUCUCAUAAUACACAAUUACAAAAUUAUUCUAAAAAAAAUACAACAUUUAUUGAUCAAACCUUAAUUCAAUAAAAAUACAACAUUUUGGUGAUAACAAGUUUCCUACUGAGGCUGAAAAAAGGUAAAGUCUUUAGAUUGUGGACACUAUAAAUUUGCUGGAAAUUUCUAAGAAGUUGGACCCCAUUCAACAAUGAUCUUGCAUGUGAACUUCAUUAGAGGCUGGACCCAUUUGAUAGGUGACCGAUCCCUUGGAAGCCCUCGUAUUACAUCUAUUUUUAUGUGUUGAAAUUGAAAGAUGAUAAGAAGUUUUCUGGUGAUUUUUUCAUCUGUUCUAAUCCUGGUGGAAGAUGAUUGGAAUUUUCUCCAUAGACCAAAUUCUGCAUUCACAUACCUGAGAAAUAAUUUGCCAGUUUGGACUUCAAAUAUUUCUCUUUAUUAAGCAGCACAACAAAUAUAUUAUAUGAGUUUCCUUCACCAUAUACCCAAAGUUGAGAACUUGCCUGUUAGUCUUUAGCAAUAUUCUUCAACAAUGUCUCAUUCUUCUUCUUCCAAAAAUUGCAAUUACGAUGUCUUUUUGAGUUUUAGAGGUGAAGAUACACGUAGAACCUUUGUGAGUCAUCUCUAUAAUGCUCUGGAACAAAGAGGAAUCCGUUCUUUUAAAGAUGAUGAACGACUAGAAACAGGAAAAACAAUUUCUGAUGAACUUUUGAAAGCCAUAGAAGAGGCCAGAUUCGCUGUCGUAAUAUUUUCAAAAAGCUAUGCAUCCUCAAGAUGGUGCUUAGAGGAGCUUGCACACAUCAUAAAGUGUAAAAAGGAAUUGGAGCAGACUGUGAUUCCAGUCUUCUAUGAUGUGAGUCCAUCAGAUGUGCGCCAUCAAAAUCCCCCUUUCGUUGAUUCAUUUUCCCAACACAAAGAUGAUAUGGAGAAAGUUCAAAGAUGGAGGGGUGCAUUUGUGGAGGCAGGGAAAAUAUCAGGCUAUCAUUUACUAAAUUUCAAGGAUGAGGCAGAGUGCAUCAAGAAACUAGUUGAUGAUAUAUUUCCUAAGUCACUUCAAAUUAUUUCACCUUUCCCGGAAAGUUUAGUGGGUAUGAAAUCUCAGGUUGAGAAAGUAACCUCAUUAUUAGGUAUGGAAUCAAAUGAUGUUCGCUCCAUUGGAAUUUGGGGUAUGGGCGGCAUAGGCAAGACAGAAAUUGCAAAUGUUCUACACCAAACAUACCGCCAUCGAUUUGAAGCUGAUUGUUUUCUUGGUGAUGUUGGAAAACUUCAUCAGGAAAAUGGACUAACAUGGCUACAAGAAGUCGUCAUUUGCAAGCUCUUGGGUGAAAAAUUGACUCUAACUAGUGAGCAUGAAGGGAUGAAUAUUUUAAAGAAUAGGCUUCGCUGGAAGAAAGUUCUGUUCAUCCUCGAUGAUGUAAACCAUCAAAAACAGUUGGAAUUUUAGUUGGAGGGCCAGAGUGGUUUGGAAUGGGUAGCAGAAUUAUUUUAACAGCAAGAGACAGGCACCUGUUAAUCAGUCACGUUGGGGAUAACGUGUAUGAAGUCCAACUAUUAUCUGAGCAUGAAGCACUUGAAUUGUUCAGUAGGCAUGCUUUUAGAGAAAAAUCACCAAAAGAAGAUUUUAUGAAACUUUCAGGACAAGUGGUGAGGCAUGCUGGUGGACUCCCUUUAGCUCUUAAAGUUUUGGGUUCUUCAUUGUACAGACGAGACAAAAAGCACUGGAGACACACAAUUGAUCGGCUGAAGAGAAUCCCUGACAAGGAUAUUCUAGGAAAGCUUAAGCUUAGUUUUGAUGGUCUGGACAAAGAAGAGAAGGAAUUAUUUCUAGAUAUUGCAUUUCUAGAUAUUGCAUGCUUGGCUAGAUACAAUUUUGAUCUUUACGUGGAACUAGUAGUGAGAGACGCGAGUCGUGGUGUUCUAAUAGAUUACCUUAUAGAAAAAUCUCUGCUAUCCAUCAACCUGUAUAAUAGAAUCGUGAUGCAUACUAUGAUAAGAGGAAUGGGUGAAAAAGUCAUACGGGAAGAAUAUGCUAACAGCAGAAUAUGGCUUCCCGAGGAGGUUCGUGACCUUUUUAAAGGAAAGUUGAUAACAGAAAAGGUGGAAAGCCUACGUAUCCCAAAGGAUUACUAUUUUGAAGAUGAUCUUGUCAAUUAUAGCAAUAUUUUCAAGAGGAUGCAAAGCUUACAAAUACUCAUAAUUGAUGAUGCACCUUUUAGCUCAAACUGCGCCAUCACUUAUCUUCCUUCCAGCCUGCGGCUUAUUGAAUGGAUGGGGUAUCCUUCAAUUUCAUUGCCAGAGAGCUUUGAACCAUCACAGCUCGUUGUGCUUCGUUUACGUCAAAGUUGGCUUGUGGAACUUUGGUCAAUAUCAAAGAAAUUGAGCAACUUGAAGCAUUUGGAUCGAAGCAAUAGCCUUGGGUUAACAAAAACCCGUAAUUUUGGUGAUAUGCCAAACUUGGAGGCACUAUAUUUGCUGGGGUGUGUGAAUUUGGAAGAGGUCCAUCCCUCUCUUGGACAUUGCAGAAUGCUUACUUAUUUGAGUUUGUAUAAAUGUCGCAAACUUAAGAAGCUUCCAAAAUUUGUCUGCAUGGAAUCUCUCGAGUCUCUCAAUCUCCUUGAAUGCACAAGCUUAGAAGAAUUUCCAGAAAUCUGUGGAGAUAUGCGUAGCUUAUCAAUACUCAAUCUAGAAUCCCCGUGGAUAAGAAGCUUACCCCCAUCUCUCAGCGGCCUUAGAGAGAUGUAUUUGAUUGAUUGUGAAAUUCUUGAAAGUAUUCCGGACGCUUUUCGAAAUCUUAGAGAUCUCCGUAUUUCAGGUUGCAAUAAACUUGCAGCACUGCCAAACAGCCUCUUUGAAUCACAGCAAUUGGAAUCUCUUUAUAUAUACCGAUGUUCUGUAUUGGUAAAGCUCCCCAUGUCUCUUGGAGUUCAAAAGAAGCUCCGUUUGUUACGUAUAGAUAGAUGUGAGAACUUAAAGGAGCUUCCUAGCCCUAUUCAGCUGAAAUCCCAUCAUACGCUCAACAUAUCUAAUACCCCAAAAUUAGAUACAUUUCCCGAAUUCAAAGGAGAUAUGCAUUGCUUGAGAGAACUGACUCUGAAUUCUACUGGGAUAAGAGAAGUACCUUCAUCCAUUGGGAAUCUGAGCGGCCUUAAAGCUCUCUAUCUGGAAGGUUGGGAAGAUCUUGUAAGUCUACCAGGCAGCCUCUGUAAUUUGAGGGAGCUUUGUCGUCUUUCCCUCAGAGGUUGCAAAAAGCUAGAGAAGCUUCCAGAAAAUCUUGGUGAUUUGCAAAAGUUAGAGGAACUUGAUGCGAGAGAAACUGCAAUCUCCCAACCACCUCCCUCCAUCACCAAGCUUGACAAACUGAAGAUUUUAGGCUUGGGUAGACUUCCUGAGGAUUUAGUGUCUUUGCACUUGCUGGAUACUAAAAGUAUCAGCAAACUCUCAGAGCUUUAUCACCUGAACGUAGAAUCCUGUCAGAAUCUUAAUGUAUUGUCAGGAGAGCUACCUCCAAAUUUAGAGCAGCUAUUUGCAGAUUAUCAUUUAGGCUUGAAGAGCAUCAGAGAUCUCGUAACUGAUUAUUUUAAGCUGUAUAAGCUCUCAAUAUCCGACUGUGGAACUGUCUCAAGUGAACAAGUUAAUGUGUUCCUACAGUAUGUUCGCAGGGCAUGCAUCCAGGACAUUAUUUUAUUAGCCAAAGGGCAGGACCAAAGCUGAAAGAGAGAAGAUAUAUUUAUAUUGUUCGGUUGCUAAAAUUGAAGAAUCGAUGAACGUUCAAUUUUCUCCUUUUAUAUAUAAAUUAUCAAAUUAUUUGAAGAAGACAAAAUGCAUUAGUCAACAUGUUUACAUCAUGGGUGAAGACUCGUAUUCCCCUUACUUUUACUUUUCUUCACUUCAUUACAAUAAGUAUUCAUGUAAUUAUUUAGAAAAAGAAUCAAAUAUAUCGUCUAACUAUUACAAAUGAUUUAAUAAUGUAAUU
This is an RNA transcript of Solanum dulcamara, 3978 nucleotides long. It is a transcript of the gene named disease resistance protein Roq1-like, with no coding region annotated. The record is from RefSeq and is a predicted model, not a curated record. NCBI's taxonomy places the organism in Eukaryota, Viridiplantae, Streptophyta, Magnoliopsida, Solanales, Solanaceae. The transcript has 5 exons.